This 250-nucleotide ribosomal RNA is filed under the name Trypanosoma congolense type riverine/forest. RNAcentral's name for it is "partial 18S ribosomal RNA". The record is from RNAcentral. Lineage: Eukaryota; Euglenozoa; Kinetoplastea; Trypanosomatida; Trypanosomatidae.
AAGGGUGUGCUUGUGGGGGGGCCGCGGGGUCUUUUGCCGCCCCACGCCUAUUGGGGGGGGACUGGCUCGCUUUUCUCCCCCUUCUUCUUCUCCUCAUCCUCAUCUUUUUCCCGCUUUCCCACGUGUGUUGGGAGAGUGGAGGAGGAAGUGUGUGUGUUUGGAGGAAGAAGGUGCAGUGGGGGAAAUAUGGAGAGUGCUUGUGUGUGUGCGCAGGUGUGUUGGUCACGGCUCAUCACAACGUGUCGCGACU